AGGUCAGCGGCAGACUGACACCCGACACACCAGGCGCCUUCUAAGCGCUUGGCCGCAGGUUCGAGUCCUGCCGGGG
RNAcentral lists this transfer RNA (76 nucleotides) under Streptomyces koelreuteriae. Its description in RNAcentral is "Streptomyces sp. MG62 tRNA-Arg". RNAcentral also lists the same sequence under 1 other name. Lineage: Bacteria; Bacillati; Actinomycetota; Actinomycetes; Kitasatosporales; Streptomycetaceae. The record is from RNAcentral.